CACACCAGCACUGCACAGCACACAGCAUUGCACACCAGCACAGUUUUGCACAGCAUGCCGCACUGCCCAGCAUGCACCAUUGCACACCAGCACAGCAUUGCACAUCAUGCAGCACUGCCCAGCAUGCAGCAUUGCACACCAGCACAGCAUUGCACAUCAUGCAGCACUGCACAGAACACAGUAUUGCACACCAGCACUGCACAGCACGCAGCCCUGCACACCAGCACCGCGUUGCACAGCACACACCAUUGCACACCAGCACAGCGUUGCACAGCACACACCAUUGCACAGCACACAGCACUGCACACCAGCACAGUUUUGCACAGCAUGCCGCACUGCCCAGCAUGCACCAUUGCACACCAGCACAGCAUUGCACAUCAUGCAGCACUGCACACCGUGCAACACUGCACAGCACACAGCAUUGCACACCAGCACAGCGUUGCACAGCACGCAGCAUUGCACACGGCGGCCCCACC
This 476-nucleotide long non-coding RNA is filed under the name Gallus gallus (chicken). RNAcentral's name for it is "long non-coding RNA NONGGAT005066". Lineage: Eukaryota; Metazoa; Chordata; Aves; Galliformes; Phasianidae. The record is from RNAcentral.